This 467-nucleotide ribosomal RNA is filed under the name uncultured bacterium. RNAcentral describes it as "partial 16S ribosomal RNA". It matches the Rfam family "Bacterial small subunit ribosomal RNA", at positions 28 to 506 of the family's 1533-position model. The record is from RNAcentral.
GACGAACGCUGGCGGCGUGCUUAACACAUGCAAGUCGAACGGAAAGGCCCUGCUUUUGUGGGGUGCUCGAGUGGCGAACGGGUGAGUAACACGUGAGUAACCUGCCCUUGACUUUGGGAUAACUUCAGGAAACUGGGGCUAAUACCGGAUAGGAGCUCCUGCUGCAUGGUGGGGGUUGGAAAGUUUCGGCGGUUGGGGAUGGACUCGCGGCUUAUCAGCUUGUUGGUGGGGUAGUGGCUUACCAAGGCUUUGACGGGUAGCCGGCCUGAGAGGGUGACAGGCCACAUUGGGACUGGGAUACGGCCCAGACGCCUACGGGAGGCAGCAGUGGGGAAUAUAGCACAAUGGGCGGAAGCCUGAUGCAGCAACGCCGCGUGCGGGAUGACGGCCUUCGGGUUGUAAACCGCUUUCGCCUGUGACGAAGCGUGAGUGACGGUAAUGGGUAAAGAAGCACCGGCUAACUACGU